RNA transcript from Ictalurus furcatus (blue catfish), 3824 nucleotides. It is a transcript of the gene named DNA topoisomerase III alpha, with no coding region annotated. NCBI's taxonomy places the organism in Eukaryota, Metazoa, Chordata, Actinopteri, Siluriformes, Ictaluridae. The record is from RefSeq and is a predicted model, not a curated record. The transcript has 22 exons.
AGGCGCCGAAUUUGGAAAGUACAUGUUUGUUUUUCUGUGAGAGCAGUUCCAUAUCUAAAAAUACUUCAGCUCCUUUAUUGACAGUUUUGUCAUAUUAGUUUAAUGUGUUUAAUCUGUCGCCGCUUAUUUUAUGGAAAUUUCAUUUUAGCAGGUUUUAAAAUAAAUAAAAGAAAUUGUGGUGUUAGCUAGCUAGCUAGCUUACUUGCUACACUGACAACAAAGUGCACUUGUGUUGACUCAGACGCUUGGCCAUGGCCGGUGUAAAUACACGCCAGGUCGCGCAGCAGCUCUGCGGAUUACAGUGAUGAUCAUUGUGGGAAGGUUACUGUCUCGGCUGGCAGCUCAGAGCCUUAUUAGUCGCUCGAUAUCCGUUAGUAUGAUGAGAAGAGCUCAGAUUAAGAAGGUGCUUUGCGUCGCUGAAAAGAACGAUGCAGCCAAAGGCAUCGCAGAGAUCAUGUCUAAUGGCAGAUCUAGAAGAAGAGAAGGGUACUCCGUGUAUAACAAGAUCUAUGAGUAUGAAUAUCAUCUUUUUGGACAAAAUGUUACAGUGUGCAUGACAUCUGUGUCCGGACACCUUUUAGGUCUCGAAUUCAAAGCUCCUUUUCAGAAAUGGCACAGCUGUAAUCCAGUCUUGCUGUUUGAUGCUGAGGUGGAAAAGUAUUGCCCUGAAAACUUUGUUCCAAUUAAGAGGACCUUGGAGAGAGAGGUCAGACAGUGCCAAGCUCUGGUCAUCUGGACUGAUUGUGAUCGUGAGGGAGAAAACAUAGGCUACGAGAUCAUUGAUGUCUGCAAAGCUGUCAAGCAGAACAUUCAGGUGUUCCGCGCUCGGUUCUCUGAGAUUACUCCUAGUUCCAUUAGGAGAGCCUGCGAGUCUCUAACCGAGCCAGACAUUAACGUCAGUGAUGCUGUGGACGUCAGGCAAGAGCUGGAUCUCCGCAUUGGAGCCGCGUUUACAAGGUUCCAGACUUUACGGUUACAAAAGAUCUUCCCAGAGUCUCUAUCUAAUCAGCUGAUCAGUUACGGGAGCUGUCAGUUUCCGACCCUGGGCUUUGUGGUGGAGAGGUUUAAAGCUAUUCAGGCGUUCAUCCCUGAGAACUUCUUUAAAAUUAAAGUGGUUCAUGAGCCUAACGAAGAGGAAUCUGUGGAAUUCAGUUGGAAAAGGCAUCGCCUGUUCAACCACACGGCUUGUCUUGUGCUUUACCAUAUGUGCAUGGAGGACCCCAUAGCAAGAGUGAUUUCUGUAACAAGUAAACCAAAAAGCAAAUGGCGUCCGUUACCCCUUGACACUGUGGAACUUGAAAAACUGUCUUCAAGGAAAUUGAAGAUAAGUGCGAAAGAGACCAUGAGAAUAGCUGAGAAACUGUACACACAAGGGUUUAUCAGUUACCCUCGUACUGAGACCAACAUGUUUCCGACAAACCUGAACUUGGUCCCACUUGUUGAGCAGCAGACUCAGGACCACGAAUGGGGGGCUUUUGCUCGAGGCAUUUUGGAAAGCGGUGGGCCGACACCUCGAAACGGAAACAAAUCGGACCAGGCCCAUCCUCCCAUUCACCCUACCAAAUACACAAAUAAUCUACAGGGAAAUGAGAAACGGCUGUACGAGUUUAUCGUACGUCACUUCCUGGCGUGUUGCUCCAAGGACGCACAGGGCCAGGAGGUGACUGUAGAAAUUGACAUUGCUGGAGAGAAAUUCUCUGCAAGUGGACUGACGAUUAUUGCUCGUAACUAUCUGGAAGUUUACCCGUUCGACAAGUGGUACAAUAAGGUUAUUCCAUUAUAUACACCUGAAACAACAUUCCAGCCAACCGCUAUUGAGAUGGUGGAAGGACAGACCAGCCCACCUCAGCUCCUCACCGAGGCUGACUUGAUUUCUCUAAUGGAGAAGCAUGGCAUCGGCACAGACGCAACGCACGCUGAACACAUCGAGACCAUCAAGAGCCGCAUGUACGUGGGCCUGACGGACGAUCAGAGGUUCCUUCCUGGAGAGCUUGGGAUGGGCCUCGUUGAAGGGUACAAUUCCAUGGGCUAUGAAAUGUCUAAGCCGAACCUGAGGGCAGAGCUGGAGGCGGACCUGAAGCUCGUGUCUGAAGGGCGGAAGGACAAGACGUCUGUCCUCAGACAUCAUGUGUCAAAAUACAAGACAGUUUUCAUAGAAUCUGUCAGGAAGGCGAAGAAGUUGGAUGAGGCUCUGUCAAACUAUUUAGGCCAGGCCCAAGAGUAUACAGAGCAAGAAGAACAGGAGUUAGAGAUGCCACUCCCGGUGCGGAAGUGUCCGCAGUGCGGCCGAGACAUGGUCCUGAAGAAGAAGAAGGACAGCGCGGGGAAGUUUCUGUCAUGCAUGGGCUACCCGAGCUGUAAGGCAGCAGUAUGGUUUCCAGACACGGUGCUGGAGGUCAGCAGAGAUGACAGCAUCUGUUCAACGUGUCGCCCACAUCCUGUCAACAUGCUGAAGUUCAAGUUCAAAAGGGGAAGUCUACCUCCAGGGAUGCCUCUUGAGUUUGUUGGGUGUAUUGGGGGCUGUGAUGAGACUCUGAGAGAGGUCUUGAAUUUGAAGUAUCUCCGUGGAGGAGGAGGAGAUUCCAGCACUCAGGUUAAUCCCAGUUCAGCAUCACGCCAGUCGACUCGUCCAGUAAUUGAUCCAGCACUUCAGUCCAGGUCUGAGAACAGACCACCACCACCUAACUCUACACCAGCAUGGUCCAUACAACCAUCACAUUCUAUCCAGAACAGUGUUGUGUGUAACUGUGGCCAGGAUGCACUUCUUCUCACCGUGCGUAAAGAGGGUCCCAACCAAGGUCGUCAGUUCUACAAGUGCAAUACGGGGAACUGUAAGUUCUUCCUGUGGGCCGAACAGCAGAACGACCAGCUUGGGUCAGCAGGGAGCAUCGGCUCAACAGGACAACUGGGCCCUAGCUGUCAACCUCCCAGACCUUCUCUUGGAUUUGGAAACACACCCCAGCAGAUGCAGGGCAGCAGAAGAUCAGGGGAAGGUGGAGAAGAGCGUAUGUGUAACUGUAAUGUACCUGCGGUCACGAGGACCGUCAUGAAAGAUGGGCCGAACAAGGGCAGAGCGUUCCUCACCUGUGGCAAACCCCGGGAUCAGCAAUGUGGCUUCUUUCAGUGGGUGGAUGAGAACGUUGCUCCUGCUGCUGUAGGGAAUGUGAGAGGAAACGGCAGUAAAUGGACUGCUAGUAAGAAGAACGAAGCCUCUUCAAGCAAAGCUGCUGCUCCUAAAAGGCCAAGGACUUGUGGGAUUUGCCGUCAGCCGGGCCACACGCGCAGCACCUGUCCUCAGGGCCAGUGAGACAGGAGCAAAUGGAGAUGAUUAUCUUUUUGCCUAUGUGGAAAAUUCCAGAUGGACUAAUGUGAGACACAUUGACUCCUCUGCUGAUCAAGACGAAUCCAUAUAAGCUAUCAAUAACCAUGAAUGAAGACUGCAAAUAUCAUUUUAACUGGAAAGAAAGAGCGGACGCAGAGAGAGGUGUGAGUGCAACGGGAAAGCAAGACCUCGCGCUUGCAGGACAGUACUGGAGACAUUUGGAAAGUUGCUAAGCCUGUGACCCGGAAAUCAAUCGAAGUGAGCCAUCUUGAAGGACAUAUCAAUUCUCUUAUUGCACCAUGAGGAGGUGAGGACCGAGGAGUGAGGAAGCUUCCAGAAGAGCUAGGAGCGAGGAUACACAGGUGUAUCCUAUGCGGAAGUGUUUCUUGUCGAAAAACCUGAGCACAUAUAAAUUCCCCUCCUCCUUUACAUCUGCCACAAUCUCAAACAGAAUGUCCUUUGAUCAUGUGAUGUGAUUUUGUGUGAAAUAUAAUUAAAUAAU